CCAUCCCUUCACAUGAAGCCCAACACCAGAGUUUCUAGGACAGCCUCCUCAUUGAUAAAGUGUUCCCUGACUUCUCAAUGAGCUUGUACACUGUAGUGGCAGCGAUAAUGGGCUAUAUCUGGCUGGCCCGGAAUCCUGCCCAUGUUCCAGUCAGUGCCCUGGCUAUCAGUUGUCUGCUGAGCAUGAAUGGCCAGAGGCAGAAAAAGGACAAGGAGCCAUGCUGGUGAGAAGUGGAAGUGAUUAACUUAUGUCGCAUGCUCCAGCGGGAGUUGCAGCCAGCGAUAGGCGAAUGUAUGUUGACAGCUGCCUGGGAGUUCACACCACACCGUCAGCACUCUACAGGAAACAGAUUACUCCAGGGCUUGAGAGCUCGUUGACAGCUGGAGCUUUCUGAUAAAGUUGUCAGAAAGUGAAAAGGACAGUCCCAGGAAAUUCUUUCCCGGUUUCAGGACCUGCAAGCUGUCUCCAUACUCCUGCCCUCGGUGCCCUGUACUGUGGCCACUAGAUGGCGGUGUUGCAUAGGGUCUCCGUUGGCUCCAGUCCACAAGAGACUCCACUCAGCGAAACGCCCGACCUCCAUCCAGACUCCGACCUGCACCCAGCACGGCACGACCUUCCCCAGAGACCCGUGGGUGGACCUCACAUUCUCAGUGCCCAAAGAAUUCCUGCUCUAGGGAUUGCAGAGAUUGGAUUUGGGGUUGCAGAGAGAGCUCUCCAGAGGAAACUUGCUUCUGCUUUUCUGACCUCAACAUUCAGAUGUCCGACUAGAGACCAAACUCAUUCACUUCUGGAGAUGCUGUCUCCCUGUGUUGCUCAGGCUGGUCUCAAACUCCUGGGUUCAAGUGAUCCUUCUGCCUUGGCCUCCCGAAGUCCUCCAUAUCUUUCAAGACUUUACUGAGAUGUCACCUACUCUGGAAAGCCUUCUGGGAUUGUUCUUCCCAUAUGCUGAACAUCUGAGGGCUUUUUAUCAGCACCACGCAUUUGUCUGCCAGCUAUACUCUCCGAACUCUGUUCACUAAUAACCACUGGGGAACGAUUAUUCUCCAAUACCUUUCUAAUGUCUUAGAAUUCGUGACCCUAGGGUUUGCCAACCUGAGGGCCCACAGUGGCCGGUUCAGAAUGCUGGGGACUGCAGUAAACUAGAGGAUUUACCCUGUGGUCACUCCUCAUUCUGGCCACCAAGGCCUUCUGGGAACGACAGUUCAGUGUUGCCAAAUCUUCUACUAGUUUGAAGAUGCUGAUGAUAUGGUUUGGAUCUGUGUCCCCACUCAAAUCUCAUGUCAAAUUAUAAUCCACCUUGUGGGAGGUGAUUGGAUCUUGGGGCGGUCCUCCAUGACUGUAAGCUUCCUGAGGCUGCCCCCUCCGGAAGCAGCUGCUGCCAUACUUCCUGUAUAGCCUUUGGCACUGUAGGCCUGUUAAACCUCUUUUCUUUAUA
RNAcentral lists this long non-coding RNA (1435 nucleotides) under Callithrix jacchus (white-tufted-ear marmoset). RNAcentral describes it as "lncRNA (ENSCJAG00000056920.2)". The record is from RNAcentral. Lineage: Eukaryota; Metazoa; Chordata; Mammalia; Primates; Cebidae.